Molecule: unclassified non-coding RNA, 436 nt
Filed under: Hevea brasiliensis (rubber tree)
Lineage: Eukaryota; Viridiplantae; Streptophyta; Magnoliopsida; Malpighiales; Euphorbiaceae
Source: RNAcentral
CUUACCAAAAUCUUUUCUUUUUUUUUUUUUCGUUCUCCCUCUUUCUUGGAAAAUACAAGGAUGACUGGCGUAUCUGAUGGAGAAAGUGUCUCUCUUGAUCUUCUCAAGAUGAAAAUGGCUGAGUUUGCCAAGGAAAGGGACUGGGAUCGAUUUCACAGCCCCAGAAACCUGCUUUUGGCUUUGGUGGGUGAAGUGGGAGAAUUAUCGGAGAUAUUUCAGUGGAAAGGAGAGGUACCAAAGGGACUACCUGAUUGGAAAGAAGAGGAGAAGGUGCACCUUGGGGAAGAGCUGUCCGAUGUUCUGCUGUAUCUUGUACGACUCUCUGAUAUCUGUGGAAUUGACUUAGGCAAAGCCGCUAUGAGAAAAGUAGAAUUGAAUGCUAUCAAGUACCCAGUAGGCAUGUGCAAAGGGUCUUCCAAGAAACACAACAACAACA